CUGGGCAGCCACGCUCCAACGGAUAAGAGCUGAAAGCAUCUAAGCUCGAAGCCCGCCCUGAAAAGAGGCACCCUAAGGCUCUCGUAGAAGACGAGUUUGAUAGGACGGGGGUGUACGCACCGAGGUUCGCCGAGGUGUUCAGCCCGCCGUUACUAACCG
This 159-nucleotide ribosomal RNA is filed under the name Thermoplasmata archaeon. Its description in RNAcentral is "partial 23S ribosomal RNA". It matches the Rfam family "Archaeal large subunit ribosomal RNA", at positions 2809 to 2970 of the family's 2987-position model. Lineage: Archaea; Methanobacteriati; Thermoplasmatota; Thermoplasmata. The record is from RNAcentral.